UACAGAGGGUGCAAGCGUUGUUCGGAAUUAUUGGGCGUAAAGCGCGUGUAGGCGGCUUUGCAAGUCGGGUGUGAAAGCCCUCAGCUCAACUGAGGGAGUGCGCCCGAAACUGCAGAGCUUGAGUACCGGAGAGGAUGGCGGAAUUCCCCAAGUAGAGGUGAAAUUCGUAGAUAUGGGGAGGAACACCGGUGGCGAAGGCGGCCAUCUGGACGGAUACUGACGCUGAGACGCGAAAGCGUGGGGAGCAAACAGG
RNAcentral lists this ribosomal RNA (253 nucleotides) under uncultured bacterium. RNAcentral's name for it is "partial 16S ribosomal RNA". It matches the Rfam family "Bacterial small subunit ribosomal RNA", at positions 524 to 776 of the family's 1533-position model. The record is from RNAcentral.